GGGCGAAUGGUCUAGGGGUAUGAUACUCCCUUCGCAUUGCAGAUUUUACAUCAGAUUAGCGUCUGGGAGGGGUCCGGGGUUCAAUUCCCCGUUCGUCCA
RNAcentral lists this transfer RNA (99 nucleotides) under Nemania serpens. RNAcentral describes it as "tRNA-Ala". It matches the Rfam family "tRNA". From Rfam's summary of the family: Transfer RNA (tRNA) molecules are approximately 80 nucleotides in length. Their secondary structure includes four short double-helical elements and three loops (D, anti-codon, and T loops). Lineage: Eukaryota; Fungi; Ascomycota; Sordariomycetes; Xylariales; Xylariaceae. The record is from RNAcentral.